AGGAAUAUUGGUCAAUGGCCGUAAGGCUGAACCAGCCAAGUCGCGUGAAGGAAGAAGUAUCUAUGGUUUGUAAACUUCUUUUCUAGGGGAAUAAAGGUAUCCACGUGUGGAUAUUUGCAUGUACCCUAUGAAUAAGCAUCGGCUAACUCCGUGCCAGCCGCCGCGGUAAUACGGAGGAUGCGAGCGUUAUCCGGAUUUAUUGGGUUUAAAGGGUGCGUAGGUUGUUUUUUAAGUCAGCGGUGAAAGUUUGUGGCUCAACCAUAAAAUUGCCGUUGAAACUGGAAGACUUGAGUGUGUUUGAGGUAGGCGGAAUGCGUGGUGUAGCGGUGAAAUGCAUAGAUAUCACGCAGAACUCCGAUUGCGAAGGCAGCUUACUAAGCCAUAACUGACACUGAAGCACGAAAGCGUGGGGAUCAAACA
This 420-nucleotide ribosomal RNA is filed under the name uncultured bacterium. Its description in RNAcentral is "bacterial SSU rRNA". It matches the Rfam family "Bacterial small subunit ribosomal RNA", at positions 357 to 774 of the family's 1533-position model. The record is from RNAcentral.